Molecule: long non-coding RNA, 575 nt
Organism: Ruditapes philippinarum (Manila clam)
Lineage: Eukaryota; Metazoa; Mollusca; Bivalvia; Venerida; Veneridae
Exons: 3
Source: RefSeq, a predicted model, not a curated record
CCGCCAUGGCGGUACGCCUAUCUAUCAACAGCGUGUUUCAUUUAAACAUUUUUCUCUGUACUUUAAAUUCAUAACGGAAAGGAAAUUGCUAUGAAGUGAUAUAUACCAGAUUUCUCAAAUGAAGAUGUUGAUUUGGGUUGUCAUAUUUUGUUCUUUCCUGUCACUUUCAAAUGCAAUGGCAUCAAAAGCUUGCUGGGCCGGCUCUCAAAAACAAGAAUGUCUGUAUGACACAGUCUUACAAGGGCGAGAAGGACUGAUGAUAAGCUACUUUCUAUCAAUUCCAUUUUCUCGGAUUUGUUGCGAAGCCCUACGUUGUACCCUGGAGACAAGAAGGUGUGAGUUUAAAUACGCUCGAUGUCAUGAUAACAGCACAGUUAACAUCCAGACUCGACCAAGACUUUUGGAACUCCAAAACAUACCUACAAUGAUGCGUUGCAGCGAUGUGCAAGGCAAGGGUGCAUUUUAUUGGUUUUGGUCUCAAAUUGUGCAGGAAGAACCCUUUUAUGACGCGGAGCUAUGAUUUAAAAUCGAUUUGAUGUGUUUACAAAGUAUAAUAAAUGCUUAUGAUACCUGUC